Long non-coding RNA from Cercocebus atys (sooty mangabey), 5114 nucleotides. RefSeq lists it as uncharacterized. The transcript has 4 exons. The record is from RefSeq and is a predicted model, not a curated record. NCBI's taxonomy places the organism in Eukaryota, Metazoa, Chordata, Mammalia, Primates, Cercopithecidae.
GUGUGUACAAGGGUGAAGGGAGUCUUUAACAAAAGGCCUGCUACGCCGGGUAACGCCGCCAUGUUGGGUCUAGAUUCCUGCCUAACAUUCUGACCUCUUUCUAAUAAGAAAAUGGGACGACGUGUUCAUCUGGCUGCUUCCUGCUGAUGGGUAACAGAUCAUCUUCAGCUUGCACCCCUCUGGAGCAUACUCUGAAGCACUGGAACUUCCUUAACCUCAGGACUUUGAAGAGAAAAGCAACUCAUUUUCUUUUGCACAAAGGCUGGGAAAGGCCCUACACCCUUCUUUCAACUCAACCCCCUCGGCAGUAAAGGUUACAGGAAUCGACUCCCGGAUACGUCACAGUCAAGUCAAAGCCUAAAGAGCUGAGGGAGCAACCCCUGACAGCCCAGAGGAACAUCCUGAAUAUCAAUGUGGAGAAAAGACGAUCUUAAGCUGAAACUCAUAAAAGAUAAGUAACUGAGUGAGGGCUACUCGUCUUACUGAGUCCCACUCCUACCUCACCAGAUACUGUUUAUUAUUUCUCCCCUUUCCUCUCAAAAUUUGCCACCAAAUAUUAGAACUUCUUUUUAAGGCAUAUUUGCAAGGAAAUUUUAAUUAUACAUGGGAUUGCAUUUGUAACUUUGUAGAUCCCCAAAGGAAAAUGUUAUAUCUUGGCAAGUAAAAUUUUAAACAGAAAUUAUUUACUAUGCCACUCCUAUGGGAAUUGUUAUAGUCACGCUGCCAUCACUGUGGCACCCACAAUGUAGAAUUCUGGUUGUAAAAUUCUAAUUGCUGUAAUAUUUUGCCUGAUUAUCAUCCUUAUAACAGGAUUAAUAAUUGCAGGAAAUAUCUAGUCAAGGUUGCUUUGGUUAUAGCAGGAGUAAUAGUUAUGGAUAAGAAGCAAGCAUGGAAGUUUUACUAUGAUAGGACUUUUUACUGAAGGUUGGUGAUAAGAUGCACUCUAAGCUAUGAAAAGGAUAUGAAAAACAGAGAUUUUACAUAAGGAAGGAUCUUGAAUGGUAAAUUAUUGUCCUAAAAGGAAGUGACUGGUUGUUUACAGAAAGGAUGUUUAGGACAAGUGAGAAAGUUUAAGUAUGUUGUAAGAGGGUAUGUGAAAGUCAUGAGAAAAAUUUUAAUAAUUAAAGGAUUGUCAAGAUUAACACUAAAAUUAUUUUAGCCACCCAGUAACAUAUUUCUCAAAAUUAUAUUGCAAGUUAUAAAAAUGGCCUAAGCAUAAAAUUAUUCUCCAAUGGCAAGUUAAGGGGGGAAAUGUAUGCUUUUCUCAAGGAAAAUGUGAUCUUUAUAUUAACGUUUCUGGUAAUGUACAGCGACACCUAGUGGAGACAAGUGGGUAUUGCACUCCAUUGGUGUAUCAAACUCAGUAAUGGUCUAUAGGACCCCCACUAACGGUGGUAAUCUUAAUACUCAUAUUCUAACUCUAUAUUUUAAACCAUCUUGUAAAAUUUAUCUCUUUUCACCUAGAAGCAAUCAAACUCCAAAUGGUGCAAGCAGAACCACACAUGGACAGGCCAUUCUUCUGAGAACCCAUAGCUCAACCUCAGGAGAAGGUCCAAUUGCUGUUCCCCCAUAUGAUGCCCCUUUUCAGCAGAAAGUAGCCAGGAAGAAUCAUCGUCUGACACCCCUUAGCAACAUGCCCUGGACCCUCCAAGCUCCGAUUCAAAUAAUGUUAACCCCCUCAGGAAGGACCAGCAAUACUUGGCGUACCCUCCUCUCCCUGAGCAAAACCUUUUCAUUAUGGAGUGGAAGGUGGAGGUGAGUGUGUAGGCUAGUGUGGCUACUUGGCUCCUACCACUUGCCCAGUGUAGAUUUUCCACAAGUAUGAAAGUAAAUGCAAAUCCAAAAAGGGGAGAAAAUUAAACUUUUCAUGGCGCAAAAAGGGAAAGUGACCCCCUCCAUCCCUUUCCUUAGAGCAUAUACUUUAGAUGACGUUUCGUUAUGAAUCCUUUUUCUACUCCUUCAAGAGAUAUGUAAAUAUUUUUUAAACUGUUAAAAAUUACAGGAAGCCAUUGUUUUGGACUGAGCUCCUGCACUAGGUCCCAACAUUCAAGAAAAAAACAAAAUAGAGUCUCUCGUGUUAAAUGCCACAUCGUCAAACUAAAACCUUAACGAAGCAAACAGAUUCUAAAACAGACCAGUUUUUCCUGAAAACAGGAGAUUCUAGUCUACCUGUGUCAGCAUAAUAAUAAGGAAGUAUCCUCUGCUUUAACCCUUUUAAAAAAUUAACCCAAAGUAACCUGAUGUUAACCAAUCCAGUUUUUUUCUAUUGUUCUACUUCCUUGUUCCCACUCUUCAAUACCUACUGUUCUGUCAUUGCCAAGUGGGAGAUCUCAUUAUUUGUAGAAUGGAUGCUUCCCAAAUUCAAGAAUCACAGAUAAAAGCAAAUUAGACCUAUAACUAAAUUUGUCAUAAUUUUGUCUUUUAAUAAAGCUAAAUAAGCCUUUUGCCAGCUUUAAAACACAGAAAUGUCUUUCUCAAGAACCUGAGUGACAUCUCUUUGAAAUGUAAACAUCAAAGAAUAUAGCAUCCCUAUCUUCUUGGGAGUUUAAUGUAGGUGUCUGGCUUCAAAUUACAGCUACCUAUGUGUCAUAGAAUUAUGAGAAAUUUUACAAUGUCUUUGGAUAAAGGCAAUUAGCAAAGACAAAUGGCCACCCCCAAGUACCAGGAGAAUUUAAAAUGAACUAUGUGUAACAAAUGGUGCUAUUAAGUCCUCUCAUAUGAAGACUAGUCUAUCUUGGGAACAUAUAUGUAAUAGUUUAUAUCUGCCUGGGCUAUAUAAAAAGAUGAUAUUUCUAUCUUUCCAAUCUCUUUAGCAGAUUGCCUGUGAUACACAUUACAUUCUGGUUUAAUGACUAUUCAAUAAUAAAACUGUUUUCCUUCUUUUCUACUUUUGUGGACAGGUUUUCUGGGUUGGCAGAUUUUGUCUGUAAUUAUGUUUUGCCCAACACAGGCACCUGGGAACAUUGAGUACUGCCAAUGGACUGCUGAACCAAAUGAAGUGCUUUUCUGCAACAUUCAUGUUGCAGAGGAGAUGGGAACUGCCACUCAGCUGCUGCCGCUCAGCUACUAAAUCUGAAAUAGUUAUUCAGCAAUACAAAAAUGGGAAUGGGGAGUUCUAGAGCAUCCCCUGUGGCUCAAAUGCCCAGAACUUUCUGCUAUACCUACUGAGUUUCAGUAGAUUUUAUUGAAUAAAAGUUUCUCAAUUCUUUAUAAGCCCUCUGAUCAAUCUCCAAAUACUUUGUCUAGUUUCAGAUAUGUUUUUCUAGGGGAAAGGAUUUGCCAAGCUCCUUAUACUGCCAUUCCAGAAGUCCUAACCCUGAACUAUGUUUGCAACUUCUUGUGAAUCCUAAAUUAUUUUAAAAUAAACAGUAUAAGAAAUAAAAAUUUAGUGAUGCCUAGCAUGAUCCAGGCAGUGUCCUUGAUGCUGGAUUUACAAAGACCAAUGAAACCUGGUUCUUUUCCUUCAGGAUCUUAUAGUCAGGUGUGGGAGACAGAUCUGUGUACUGGAAAGCACAGAAAAGUGCUGUAGGUGCUGAAUUAGCAAUCUGCGCAAAUAGCAUGGAGGAAGGGAUGAAGUAAACAAAAGUCGUCAGUAAAAUAGAAACAGGAAUGGCCAACAAAUUAAAAAGAAGAUUCAGGAGAACUAUGUCCUUGUGAGUCUGAAAUCACUCACCUAUACUUGACAAUGCAACUGGUCAUUGGGUUCACAUCCUUGGCUCUUCCCAGGUAAUAGUGAAUAGUAUCCCUUCUCGAAAUAAAAUAAUUUAGACAGGCUUCUAUUCAUUCAACUAUGCAUCCAAACACAUACUAUUUUGUGGGACUUCUCUAUACCUCAGUCACUGUUUAUCAGAGAAACCCUCAGUGAAUUAUCUAAUGCAGUUUUAUUGUAAGAUCAGAUCUGAAGGAAAAGGAGUAACAGAUUGACCGAAGUUCUUUAUGAAGCCAAGAAGUCCGAAAUAGAAGCUUCCCAAAAUGGGAACAUGGGGUAAAGAAUAUAAAAAUCUCAAGUGAAGAGAAUUUCUAAUACAGAUGUGUCCUAUGUCAAUUCAUUGUUCACAUAUAUUUUCCAAUAAGGGCAAAACUGACACAAUGAUAGCAAUACUUUAUUGAGCAAGUAGCAAAUGUAAUAAUAAUUCAUUCAAUAAAUAUUAGGCACUGUGUUAGGUUCUGGGGAUACAGAGAUGACUCAAGCUGGGCUUCAGGCCUCAAAGACUUCAUAUUCUAGUGGACAGACAGACAGACCUAGAUAGAAAGAUAGACAAUUCUGCCUACAUGUAGAAUUGCACCUACAUGAAAUUGUGAGGAGAGCUAUGACAGAAAUAAGCAUGGAGGACCUUGGGAAACAGAUGAGGGCCCCUUAACCUAGGUAGCCAUGAAAGAAUUCUCAGAGGAGAUAAUGCUUAUGAACUAGGUACUAUUAUGAUCCUCAACAUUAGAUUAGAAAACUGCAGAUCAGGGAGGUAAAGUAACUUGGCUGAGAUCACAUGGAUAGUAAAUGGUUGAGCCAGUUUUCAUUCAUGGUAAUGUGAACUCCCAAACCUCAUUCGUUUCACUUGACUGCCACCACUUAGAUUUUCAGUGGCUCUGUUUGCUUCAAAUAUUUUUUUGAAAUCUGGUACAUUUUAUGAUCUAUGGGAAAGUCAGAAAGAUACUCCAUAUCUAUUAGUUUAAGUGCAGCUCCUCUGAGUUCUAACUACUAGGCCCUGAUGCUGUACAGAAUUCUGAGCACAGCCUAGACACUAAAUGUUUUUCUUUUCUGCAGACCAUCAAAUGCUAACUGAUUCGCUUCAACCUUGAGUAUUAAUUAAUUUUUGCUGUGUUACACCCACUUUUAAAAGUAAUUUUAACUUAAUGCCCUUUCAAAAUCCAAUCAAAUUAACAGUAUAAUAUGGAUUUUCAUAAAGAUCCCAGAAUGUCCUGCUCUGAAACACCAUCCAAUUGACUAUUCAUAUCAAUGUAAACUGGACUUGGAGUGUUAUAAAAAUCCUGCUCAAAAGCAUAUACUAAAUCAUUACAAUUUUCUUGUAAGUACAAAUCAAUUUUUAUGAGACACAGUCUUGCUUUGUCACCAAGGCUGGAGUGCAGUGGUGUGAUCACAGCUCACUGCAGCCUCA